GUCAGGAUGGCCGAGCGGUCUAAGGCGCCAGACUCAAGGUUACCUUACCCACUACAUGUGGGUCCGGGCGUUCUGGUCCUCUCUGAGGGCGUGGGUUCGAAUCCCACUUCUGACA
This 115-nucleotide transfer RNA is filed under the name Papilio machaon (common yellow swallowtail). It matches the Rfam family "tRNA". From Rfam's summary of the family: Transfer RNA (tRNA) molecules are approximately 80 nucleotides in length. Their secondary structure includes four short double-helical elements and three loops (D, anti-codon, and T loops). Lineage: Eukaryota; Metazoa; Arthropoda; Insecta; Lepidoptera; Papilionidae. The record is from Rfam by way of RNAcentral.